Molecule: ribosomal RNA, 798 nt
Filed under: Pelomonas sp. JGI 0001002-B21
Lineage: Bacteria; Pseudomonadati; Pseudomonadota; Betaproteobacteria; Burkholderiales; Sphaerotilaceae
Description: bacterial SSU rRNA
Rfam family: Bacterial small subunit ribosomal RNA
Source: RNAcentral
AGAGUUUGAUCCUGGCUCAGAGCGAACGCUGGCGGCAGGCCUAACACAUGCAAGUCGAACGGAUCCUUCGGGAUUAGUGGCGGACGGGUGAGUAACACGUGGGAACGUGCCCUUUGGUUCGGAACAACUCAGGGAAACUUGAGCUAAUACCGGAUGUGCCCUUCGGGGGAAAGAUUUAUCGCCAUUGGAGCGGCCCGCGUAGGAUUAGCUAGUUGGUGGGGUAAAGGCCCACCAAGGCGACGAUCCUUAGCUGGUCUGAGAGGAUGAUCAGCCACAUUGGGACUGAGACACGGCCCAAACUCCUACGGGAGGCAGCAGUGGGGAAUCUUGCGCAAUGGGCGAAAGCCUGACGCAGCCAUGCCGCGUGAAUGAUGAAGGUCUUAGGAUUGUAAAAUUCUUUCACCGGGGACGAUAAUGACGGUACCCGGAGAAGAAGCCCCGGCUAACUUCGUGCCAGCAGCCGCGGUAAUACGAAGGGGGCUAGCGUUGCUCGGAAUUACUGGGCGUAAAGGGAGCGUAGGCGGAUAGUUUAGUCAGAGGUGAAAGCCCAGGGCUCAACCUUGGAAUUGCCUUUGAUACUGGCUAUCUUGAGUACGGAAGAGGUAUGUGGAACUCCGAGUGUAGAGGUGAAAUUCGUAGAUAUUCGGAAGAACACCAGUGGCGAAGGCGACAUACUGGUCCGUUACUGACGCUGAGGCUCGAAAGCGUGGGGAGCAAACAGGAUUAGAUACCCUGGUAGUCCACGCUGUAAACGAUGAGUGCUAGUUGUCGGCAGGCAUGCCUGUCGGUGACGCAGCU